UCUUAUGGAACAAGGAAACAAGAUUUUUAGUUUCCUAUAUGGAUUUUAAUGGAAUCCUAUCUGAUUUGGUAAAGACUAUAUAUGUAUAUUUAGUGGCCUCUCCCCUCACAGAACACACGCUCAUCUUAGGACUUAAUCUCUACUUACACGUGUGGAGAAAGGAGGAUAACAGAGAGAGAAACGCCUAACCCUAACUCCUGCAUUUUCUUUGUCUCGCUCUCCCUAUCUUUCUCCUGUAUCCUCCUUCUCAAACAAAGCCAUGUUGGAAUUCCGAUAUCCUAUCGGAUCAGGAUCAGGAUCCGGAUCCGUCAAGGGGUGGCAUGCGGCGGAACUGGCGAAGUUCAAACCGUUCGACGACCGUGAGGACAACGACCACGAUAUCCAGAAUACUAAAGACAAAGAGGAAUAUAUCUAAAGAGAAACAAACAAAGAGGAGGAAGAUUUACAAAAGGGUGUUCGAGACUCAAUGACUCGACUGACUCAACUGGAACUCAAUGACAAAGAAGAAGAAGAAGAAGAAGAAGAAGAAGGAUUCAAAGGAUUUUAUGUUGGCUCUGAAAUUUGCUGUACAGAAGGUAACCACAUGGCACUGGUAAUUGUCCGUACUGGGAUUUGUUCCAGCGGGCGUUACUGUGAGCAGCAAAUAUGAUAUAGGUUGUAAGUUCUGUGGUCAUCUUGCUGGUUACCACGGGGGUGAGUACGGAAAGGACUAUAAAGCUCGUGUUGUUACGAAAGAAUGCUACUGAUGUUGGAAGCAAGGGCAUUGGGAUGAAGAAUGCGCGGGAUAUAUCAAGUCAGAACGCGGCGAUUGGUUUUUAAAGCUGUUGGCAAAGAGAUGUUCUAUUCGGUUGGCAAAUGUGCAGUAAUAAAACAUGUGAAGCGCAAAUGCAAGGCAGAGUUUUUGUCUAUGGGACCAGACGUGCCUCAUAAAGAUCAGUGGUUGAGGGAUGUGGUGUCAUUACUUUGACAGCCCUUCCUUUUUGUUUUUGUAUAUUUAAUUUUGAGAAGAUUACAAAUUUUAACUCCA
Molecule: long non-coding RNA, 1027 nt
Organism: Pyrus x bretschneideri (Chinese white pear)
Lineage: Eukaryota; Viridiplantae; Streptophyta; Magnoliopsida; Rosales; Rosaceae
Exons: 2
Source: RefSeq, a predicted model, not a curated record